Cervus hanglu yarkandensis (Yarkand deer) is the source of this 1735-nucleotide long non-coding RNA. The record is from Ensembl. NCBI's taxonomy places the organism in Eukaryota, Metazoa, Chordata, Mammalia, Artiodactyla, Cervidae.
CGUUUACCAGAUCGCCACCCACACGCUCUGUUCUCAUGGUGCUUUCCGCUGUAGCUGGUUAACAAUGUGGGAAAGUGCUUCAUUCAUUCAUUCAUUUCUUCUGCUAGUAUUUACCUCGAGCCACUAGGCUGGGCUGUAUUGGAGGAACCGGGGACAGCGAGGAAUUAAUUCCUUCUGGCCCUUUUGGACCGGCGUUCAGCUGAGCUAUUCCUGGCUGGGCUCACGUCCCAGCGGUGAAGCCGGACGGAGAGCCAGGGGCUAAGUCCCAGGAAGAAAAAUAGGGAUGGGGGUGAGGGGAGGUGUCCAUGGUCCAGAGAGAUGAUUCUGAGAAAGUGAUAUCGAGCUGAAACCUACACAUAAAAUUUCGGGAGCUAUUGGUUGGGGGAGGAACUACACCUGUGGGUUAUGGAGCAGCUCCUCCCCCCGCGAGUUUAAAGAACACGAGGGGUUAGGACUUCUGGCUCCUCAGCCUGCUGCCCACCCCUCCCCGCCCCAGGCUCCCUCUCUACUCAGAGCGCUGGUCCUCUAGGGGGGCGCGUGUAUGAGUGUGUGUGCGUGUGUAGUGGGAGUGGGGGGUCCUUCACUUUCCCCCUCUCCGGCUCCCGGUCCACGCCUCCCCGCUCCCCGCUCCCCGCCGCCACUCUCCGGAGCGCCCGCCCACCCAGCCCCCCAGCCCUCCCCAUCCCCAGGAGAAAGGCAGAGCGGCGGCAGCGGGGAAAUGUGAAGUUUCUGCUGCUCAAAGUGACGCAAAAAUUCUUAAAGAGCUCUUUGGCGGCGGAUAUCUAGAGAUCAGACCAUGUGAGGGGCCGAGAGUACAAAUAACUGCCGCGCCGGCGCCGGAACAGGCAGCGGCGCCCGGGUGCCUCGACGGCGCGAGGGUCGCCCGCUCCGAAGCCCCGGACCAGCCUCCGCGGACUCCCGGCAGGGCUUCUGUUUGCUCUUCGCUGACCGCCAUCGCGUGCAGGGGGCUGUGUGCAGGCAUCUCCGCGGGGAGAGCCCUACUGGACACAAUGCCUAAAUAUCUAGAGAAAUCUCCGAAUGACACUUAAGUGGGACGAGUCUCCGUACGCUUGGGUGGUUUUCGCUCGCAGAGCCGAUGCACGCUCAGUCAUUCGGAAUUCACGUGAAACCCAGAACUCCAGCGAGCUGUACUACACGAUUGAAAUGUGUGCCCAUCAGUUGCUUGAAAAAUGUGUACGUUCAAAUUUGUUUUCUCAAAGGCUCUCUGGAGCUAAAGAACACUAAGAAGCACAUUUCUUUUUGCCCUGGGUCUUCUGUGUAAUGAAUUUUUUUUUUUCCCCAGUUGGGGUUCUAAAGAUUUCAGAGGGAUGGGAUUUCUAAGAGUCAGAUCUUAAAAAGGCUUCUUCUGUGUUAGUAUUUUUAUGAUCAAUUUUGUCCAGAAAAAUAAACCAGGUUAAUGGAUUAUUUAUGAGCCUGCUAGCUCUCAUCAUAGGAAGAGGAGAUCAAAUAUUUAAUGUGUGUUGCCUUAACACACAUUAGACAUGGGGAAAAUGUCUAAGAAAGCAACAUUGGGAUUUGUUGCUUAAUGAAGUGGAGGGGGCACCAUGGGCUCAUGGAUGUUUGGGUUUGGGGAGCAGAGAAAAACACACAGCUUUUACUUUGUCCGUUAAUCGCUUUCCUGUGAAGCCACCGGUGCUUAAAGGUUGAAGUUUUCCUGUCUGCAGACUGCGGUGGGGGUGGCUGCUUCUAGCAUGGAGGAGAGGGCAGGUUCUUA